RNAcentral lists this ribosomal RNA (1363 nucleotides) under uncultured bacterium. Its description in RNAcentral is "bacterial SSU rRNA". It matches the Rfam family "Bacterial small subunit ribosomal RNA", at positions 27 to 1381 of the family's 1533-position model. The record is from RNAcentral.
GAUGAACGCUAGCGAUAGGCUUAACACAUGCAAGUCGAGGGGCAGCACGGGAUUAGCUUGCUAAUCUUGGUGGCGACCGGCGUAAGGGUGCGUAACGCGUAUGCAACUUGCCUGUCAGUGGGGAAUAACCCGGAGAAAUCCGGACUAAUACCGCAUACACUUUAGUUUCUGCAUGGGGACUUUAGGAAAGAUUUAUUGCUGACAGAUAGGCAUGCGUUCCAUUAGAUAGUUGGUGAGGUAACGGCUCACCAAGUCGACGAUGGAUAGGGGAGCUGAGAGGCUUAUCCCCCACACUGGAACUGAGACACGGUCCAGACUCCUACGGGAGGCAGCAGUGAGGAAUAUUGGUCAAUGGGCGAGAGCCUGAACCAGCCAAGUCGCGUGAAGGAAGACGGUCCUAUGGAUUGUAAACUUCUUUAGUAGGUGAGAACAAGCCGUUACCCGUAGCUGUUAAGCCAGCUACCUAAGAAUUAGUAUCGGCUAACUCCGUGCCAGCACCCGCGGUAAUACGGAAGAUACGAGCGUUUAUCGGAUUUACUGGGUUUAAAGGGUGCGUACGUGGCUUUAUAGUCAGUGGUGAAAGCUGUGGCUCAACCAUAGUCUUGCCGUUGAAACUGUGGAGCUUGAGUGCGGAUGAGGUAGGCGGAACGCGUAGUGUAGCGGUGAAAUGCAUAGAUAUUACGCAGAACUCCGAUUGCGAAGGCAGCUUACCAAACCGCAACUGACACUGAAGCACGAAAGCGUGGGUAUCAAACAGGAUUAGAUACCCUGGUAGUCCACGCAGUAAACGAUGAUUACUCGGAGUAUGCGAUAUAUGGUAUGCUCCCAAGGGAAACCGAUAAGUAAUCCACCUGGGGAGUACGCCGGCAACGGUGAAACUCAAAGGAAUUGACGGGGGCCCGCACAAGCGGAGGAACAUGUGGUUUAAUUCGAUGAUACGCGAGGAACCUUACCCGGGAUUGAAAUGUACAUGACGGUUUGGCGAGAGCCUGACUUCCCUUCGGGGCAUGUAUGUAGGUGCUGCAUGGUUGUCGUCAGCUCGUGCCGUGAGGUGUCGGCUUACGUGCCAUAACGAGCGCAACCCACAUCGUCAGUUACUAGCAGGUAGAGCUGAGGACUCUGACGAGACUGCCGUCUUAAGGCGCGAGGAAGGUGUGGAUGACGUCUAAUCACCACGGCCCUUACAUCCGGGGUGACCCACGUGUUGCCAAUGGUAGGGACAAAGGGCAGCUACCUGGCGACAGGAUGCGAAUCUUCCAACCCUAUCCUCAGUUGGAUCGGAGUCUGCAACUCGACUCCGCGAAGGUGGAUUCGCUAUUAAUCCGCGCAUCCCCCAUGGCGCGGUGAAUACGUUUCCGGGGCU